CAUGCAAGUCGAGCGGGGGAAGGUAGCUUGCUACCGGACCUAGCGGCGGACGGGUGAGUAAUGCUUAGGAAUCUGCCUAUUAGUGGGGGACAACAUCUCGAAAGGGAUGCUAAUACCGCAUACGUCCUACGGGAGAAAGCAGGGGAUCUUCGGACCUUGCGCUAAUAGAUGAGCCUAAGUCGGAUUAGCUAGUUGGUGGGGUAAAGGCCUACCAAGGCGACGAUCUGUAGCGGGUCUGAGAGGAUGAUCCGCCACACUGGGACUGAGACACGGCCCAGACUCCUACGGGAGGCAGCAGUGGGGAAUAUUGGACAAUGGGGGGAACCCUGAUCCAGCCAUGCCGCGUGUGUGAAGAAGGCCUUAUGGUUGUAAAGCACUUUAAGCGAGGAGGAGGCUACUUUAGUUAAUACCUAGAGAUAGUGGACGUUACUCGCAGAAUAAGCACCGGCUAACUCUGUGCCAGCAGCCGCGGUAAUACAGAGGGUGCGAGCGUUAAUCGGAUUUACUGGGCGUAAAGCGUGCGUAGGCGGCUUAUUAAGUCGGAUGUGAAAUCCCCGAGCUUAACUUGGGAAUUGCAUUCGAUACUGGUGAGCUAGAGUAUGGGAGAGGAUGGUAGAAUUCCAGGUGUAGCGGUGAAAUGCGUAGAGAUCUGGAGGAAUACCGAUGGCGAAGGCAGCCAUCUGGCCUAAUACUGACGCUGAGGUACGAAAGCAUGGGGAGCAAACAGGAUUAGAUACCCUGGUAGUCCAUGCCGUAAACGAUGUCUACUAGCCGUUGGGGCCUUUGAGGCUUUAGUGGCGCAGCUAACGCGAUAAGUAGACCGCCUGGGGAGUACGGUCGCAAGACUAAAACUCAAAUGAAUUGACGGGGGCCCGCACAAGCGGUGGAGCAUGUGGUUUAAUUCGAUGCAACGCGAAGAACCUUACCUGGCCUUGACAUACUAGAAACUUUCCAGAGAUGGAUUGGUGCCUUCGGGAAUCUAGAUACAGGUGCUGCAUGGCUGUCGUCAGCUCGUGUCGUGAGAUGUUGGGUUAAGUCCCGCAACGAGCGCAACCCUUUUCCUUACUUGCCAGCAUUUCGGAUGGGAACUUUAAGGAUACUGCCAGUGACAAACUGGAGGAAGGCGGGGACGACGUCAAGUCAUCAUGGCCCUUACGGCCAGGGCUACCCCCGUGCUACAAUGGUCGGUACAAAGGGUUGCUA
This 1203-nucleotide ribosomal RNA is filed under the name Acinetobacter sp. 945B12_12AESBL. Its description in RNAcentral is "bacterial SSU rRNA". It matches the Rfam family "Bacterial small subunit ribosomal RNA", at positions 54 to 1252 of the family's 1533-position model. Lineage: Bacteria; Pseudomonadati; Pseudomonadota; Gammaproteobacteria; Moraxellales; Moraxellaceae. The record is from RNAcentral.